Molecule: long non-coding RNA, 2213 nt
Organism: Oncorhynchus nerka (sockeye salmon)
Lineage: Eukaryota; Metazoa; Chordata; Actinopteri; Salmoniformes; Salmonidae
Exons: 4
Source: RefSeq, a predicted model, not a curated record
UGGUAGGCUACUUUUAUACACAGUAGGCCUAUUACAGAGAACAUACAUAUAUAUUUUUGAUAUACACAUUACUUUUCUUGCUGCAAACUUCCUGCAAGUUUGUGACAAAAUGUUGCCAGAAGUUGUUUGCCACUAGUGGUGAAUUUGCAGCAAACCUUUGGCAACAACAAUAUUUAUUAAGACUAGUGGCAAACAGUUCACCAGUUUGUUUCUGGAAAACAAUUCUCUCGAGAUUAUAUUUGAAUCUGUGCAAACCUGUGGCAACAAUAUGUACUGCCACUAGUGGCUCCCAGUUUACCAGAGGUUGUUUUUGGUGGGCACAUCAUUUCAGAGACCAGUAACUUUUGACGACCAGUCAAGGAGAUCUGGAAGAAAAAAAAAUCUGAUGGAAAUGGAAACCAAGAAAUCUACCUACCAAAGUUGUCCUAAGCAAUCAGUUAUCAGGCAAAGAGACAGAUUGAGGCCUUCAAUCAAACGGAGGACUGAGAAAUAUGCAUACACCAGCCUUAUACACCUGAGUCAGAAAGAAGUGACAACUAGUAGAAAAGUGGCUCUUGAUGAUGAAGUCCCCAGUCCAGAUUGAAGAUCUGAGUUUUAAUCCAUUGUAUUGAGGCUUGACUGGAUCAUUUCUGUGGCUCUCUAGAAACACACAUUUUGGAGUGCAUACAUUCAGCAAGCGUUCGGCAGGAUUUCUACAGGGCCGCCAGGUAGGCUAGCGGUUAAGAGCAUUGGGCCAGUAACCAAAAUGUCGCUGGUUCAAAUCCCGAGCUGAGUAAAUGAAAUAUGUGAGCAAAGUGCUUAACCCUAAUGGUUCCUGUAAAUUGAUCUGGAUUAGCGAAUCUGCUAAAUGACAAAAAUGUGAAGUAAAGUUCAGUCAAAGAGGCUAUACUUCUUCCAUUGGUUGAAUGCUCAUGUAAAUUCUGAAGUUGCCCCUUGAGAACUCCUGGAUAUUUCUCUCAUGUAAAUGUUGUAGUUUUUGCUAUUUUCUUCAUUAACACUGCAUUAUGUUUUUAUUGUGAGAUAGUUAAGAACGUUGUAUUGGAUUUUAUGUGUUUUGUGUUAAGACAUUGAAUACAUUUUGUUUAGUUCUGUGAGAAGCAAGUACAUUUAAAGUUAUUUGUGAUUUGGUUGAUGUCGAUAAAAAUUUUUGAUGUUGUUUAAUACACUAAAUAACCAAUUUGCAUAUUCAUAAUGAUUUUGCCGCAAAUUUGCAGCAAACAGUAGAAUUUUCGCCACAAGUUUCUCAGAGUAGUUUGCCAGAAGAUCACAAGUCGGCCCAAAUGUGCGCAACAGUUUGCCACAAAAUUAAUUUGCAUGUGAAAAUAUAAGCUUGCUGCAAAUAAGCCAAAGAUUUGCCACAACUCUUUGCCAGAAGCCUGUUUUUUUGGUAAUGGCUAGUUCUCUGGACUUUUACUUUGAUGAAGUAGGCUAGGCUAGGAUAGAAAAUAGGUAUAUGAUCUGAGUCAUUAAAUGUCAGGGGAAAUGAGAUGAUCACUUUUAAAGGGGAACUGCACCUGCUGAUUUGGUCUCGUUUUUUGGCUUGUUCCUCAAGAAAUGUUGCAAAUACUGGACAUUCCUGCUGUACUGUAUUAUUAGUAAUCUUCACAUUGACGAUGUGUUGAGUGCCAUUCAGAGACGUCAGAAUCAAACCUGUCUGUCUCCAUCACAUCAUCUUGCAAGUGCUAGCUCUGUUAGAUGCAUCCGUGAACAUAUACACACAGUCACUGUUCUAUUGCCAAUAGGUGAUAUCUGACAAACAUAUACUAUGUUGAAGUUUGAACAGGUCAGACUCUUCUCCCCAUCGAUGACUGUUGGUGAGCAGGCAAGAGGUGAGGUCUUUGCCAUAGCAAUGUAGAUCAGCUUCUGGACCCUCAUCAAAGAUACUGGUCUGUGUUGAAUGUUGAAUCUGGGUGCAGGUGACACACACAUGCAGACACAAACGCAGAGCACCGAUUACAUUAUCAAUGGCCUGUUCAGGGGCAGAACGACAGAUUUGUACCUUGUCAGCUCGGGGGUUUGAACAUGCAACCUACUAGUCCAACGCUCUAACCACUAGGCUACCCUGCCACACCAGAUUAUCAAUGAUGGUUAUGAUUAGCCUGGUGAAACCAACCUGAUCACUACAUUCACCUUUCUAUUUCACUUCAGAUAUCAUAAAGUGUAAUAGAAUGGGGAACACAGCGAUUAGGCUGGGUCCACCAGGCUAGGUUAUA